UACAGAGGGGGCAAGCGUUGUUCGGAAUUACUGGGCGUAAAGGGCGCGUAGGCGGCCUUCUAAGUCGAACGUGAAAUCCCCGGGCUCAACCCGGGAACUGCGUCCGAUACUGGAAGGCUUGAAUCCGGGAGAGGGAUGUGGAAUUCCAGGUGUAGCGGUGAAAUGCGUAGAUAUCUGGAGGAACACCGGUAGCGAAGGCGACAUCCUGGACCGGUAUUGACGCUGAGGCGCGAAAGCCAGGGGAGCAAACGGG
This 253-nucleotide ribosomal RNA is filed under the name uncultured bacterium. RNAcentral's name for it is "partial 16S ribosomal RNA". It matches the Rfam family "Bacterial small subunit ribosomal RNA", at positions 524 to 776 of the family's 1533-position model. The record is from RNAcentral.